RNAcentral lists this ribosomal RNA (252 nucleotides) under uncultured bacterium. RNAcentral's name for it is "partial 16S ribosomal RNA". It matches the Rfam family "Bacterial small subunit ribosomal RNA", at positions 524 to 776 of the family's 1533-position model. The record is from RNAcentral.
UACGAAGGUGCAAGCGUUGUCCGGAAUUAUUGGGCGUAAAGAGCGUGUAGGCGGCCCGACCAGUCCGCUGUGAAAGUCCAGGGCUCAACCCUGGAAUGCCGGUGGAUACUGUCGGGCUAGAGUCCGGAAUGGGCGAGUGGAAUUCCUGGUGUAGCGGUGAAAUGCGCAGAUAUCAGGAGGAACACCAAUGGCGAAGGCAGCUCGCUGGGACGUGACUGACGCUGAGACGCGAAAGCGUGGGGAGCAAACAGG